GAUCAUGGCUCAGGAUGAACGCUAGCUACAGGCUUAACACAUGCAAGUCGGGGGGCAGCAUGAAGUCAGCUUGCUGACUUGAUGGCGACCGGCGCACGGGUGAGUAACGCGUAUCCAACCUACCCCUUAGUAGGGCAUAGCCCGUAGAAAUGCGGAUUAAUACCCUAUGUUUUCCGAGGAUGACAUCUGACUUGGAACAAAGAUUCAUCGCUAAGGGAUGGGGAUGCGUCCGAUUAGCUUGCCGGCGGGGUAACGGCCCACCGGGGCGACGAUCGGUAGGGGCUCUGAGAGGAAGGUCCCCCACACUGGUACUGAGACACGGACCAGACUCCUACGGGAGGCAGCAGUGAGGAAUAUUGGUCAAUGGGCGCGAGCCUGAACCAGCCAAGUAGCGUGCAGGACGACGGCCCUACGGGUUGUAAACUGCUUUUAUCAGGGGAUAAAGUGCGGGACGUGUCCCUCAUUGCAGGUACCUGAUGAAUAAGGACCGGCUAAUUCCGUGCCAGCCGCUGC
This 513-nucleotide ribosomal RNA is filed under the name uncultured bacterium. RNAcentral describes it as "bacterial SSU rRNA". It matches the Rfam family "Bacterial small subunit ribosomal RNA", at positions 15 to 518 of the family's 1533-position model. The record is from RNAcentral.